Molecule: long non-coding RNA, 1699 nt
Filed under: Sus scrofa (pig)
Lineage: Eukaryota; Metazoa; Chordata; Mammalia; Artiodactyla; Suidae
Description: lncRNA (ENSSSCG00000055455.1)
Source: RNAcentral
GGAAGUUCCCAGGCUAGCAGUGAAUUGGAGCUGCAACUGCCAGCCUACACCACAGCCACAGCAAUGCCAGAUCUGAGCCAUGUCUGCGACCUACACUGCAGCUCACAGCAACACUGAAUACUUAAACCACUGAGCAGGGUCAGGGAUGGAACCUGCAUCCUCAUGAAUACUAGUCAGGUUCAUUACCCCUGAGCCAUAGUGGGAACUCCAGAUGUAUGGCAGGAAGUGUGUGUGUGUGUGUGUGUGUGUGUGUGUUUCUUGGUUUUAACUUGGUACCUACCAAAGCACUGGGCAUCAUAAAAGUGAUGACAUACAACAAUAUUUUUUUUCAAAUAAAGAUCUCUCUGAUGAAAGGAUUUGCUCAAAAUUGCACCCAAACUAGUCCAGAAAGAUACCUGGGAGCAUUGACUGCUUCUCUGAGGAAUUCCCUUUCCAAAGCCAGUGUACGUGAGCAUUUGAAGGCAUGAAAUUGCAGAGGGGGACCUCGGAUCACCUUUCUAUUCAGAUCUCUGAAUACGGUGGCGAGACUACCAUUCACAAGUAAAAGCAUGAAAACAACAUGUCACAAUGGUAUUGUUUACUCCUUGACCCAACAAGGCAGACUGAGAAGAGUGUCCUAUGAGAAAAAUAUUGCACCGCAUCCAUUGCAGACCCAUAAGUCAAUGUCAACACUCAGUGAGCUGAUGACUCAGAAGGAAUGCCCAUGCUCUCCCUGGACACAAACUCUCCCCAAGGCUACCAAGACCUACUGCCUUAUGACGGUCCUCAAGACAGCCAAGCGACCCAGCGCCACUCAUGGAAACCCAAAAACACACCUCCUGCAGAGAGACAUCAGUCCUUUCGUUACUGAGUGGGCAGCUCAGGGAUUCUUAGCCAUUGCUGAUUCUUUGUUCAUCCAGCCAGGUUGGUCUCACUCUUAGGCUCGCACAUGGCACUCUGAACGUGGCUCUAUAGAACUCACCAACAUUGGUAACAAUAUCUACAUUUAGGUGAUUAUUUGAUAAAGAUCUAUUUUCCCCCCAGAGCCCAGACUUCUUAAGCGCAAGGAUAGAUCUCUUUGGCUCACUACCGUGUCUAGGCAUUCUAUCCAUGUCUAACAUGGAGCGCAUGCCUCACACAUACUUUUUGAAUGGAAGAAGGGAUAAAUGAAUGGUGCUCAGGUGUCUGCUGGGAAGACACCUCCCAGCCAGCCUGACUCAGCUGCAAGAGAGCAAAGAGGCUGCAUUUUUUUUUUCCCAAUGUAAAUCCGACCUUAUCAUCACCUGACUGCCUUGUCAUCUUCAUCAAGGCGUCUCCUGUGCCUAGAAUAGUAUCUGGCACAGAGAGGAGGCUCCACAGAUAUUGGGAGAAUACACACAUGAAUGGACACUUCCCGGAGAAGCUCGGUUACCGUCUUAGGAUAAAUUCCUGGAAAGGGGAUAUGGGGGGAAGGUACAAUAUGCGAACAUCCUGAUCCAGAACCCAGGGUCCCCCUUUGGACCCAGUGGGUCUGGUUCCAGGAGUUGCUAAACCAACAGGUCAGCAUGGGGUCAGCUUGGAUUGCAAACGAAAUGAGUUUUCUUGAGACUGUGCUCCUUGGGACUGUUGGGCACCACGCUCCGGGGUUAUGUACUUGAAGUUAUGGCUCCUGGUUGUCAUCACACACUCUGAAGAAAAUAACCCCAACCCAGGAAUGGUACUGUACCUUAGAGAGAGCCGG